CUGAGGCACAUUCGUCUGAGACUCGAGCGGACGACUGCGAACUAGUAAA
RNAcentral lists this ribosomal RNA (49 nucleotides) under Asparagus officinalis (garden asparagus). Its description in RNAcentral is "partial 18S ribosomal RNA". The record is from RNAcentral. Lineage: Eukaryota; Viridiplantae; Streptophyta; Magnoliopsida; Asparagales; Asparagaceae.